Sceloporus undulatus (fence lizard) is the source of this 983-nucleotide RNA transcript. It is a transcript of the gene named centromere protein Q, with no coding region annotated. Lineage: Eukaryota; Metazoa; Chordata; Lepidosauria; Squamata; Phrynosomatidae. The record is from RefSeq and is a predicted model, not a curated record. The transcript has 9 exons.
AGCAAGACAAGAGGAGUCAUGGAGGUGAGAAAAUCUAAAGAGCAAAUAGAACAUCCCAGAAGAAAAAAGGGUUCAAAUGAAAGACCACGAAAGACAAAUGUGGAGAGAGAAGAUGCACAAGUAGUCAAGAAAAAACAGAAGAGAACAGUGCAUCGAGAAGCAAAACUAACAUGUCUGAACACAGGAGUACUGAAGGCAACUGCAACCCAACAAGCAAAAUGGCAACCACUUUCAAAGAGCACUAGAGAGCAUCUGGAAGCUACAGUGCAUUGGUUACUAGCGUCUAUUCUGUAUAAAACGACAGAAAAUCACAGUGAAAUUGAAAAGCAUUUAAAUCGCCUCAAGAAAAGGCUUCUCAACAUUUUUGAGACCCUGCGAGUUCCAGUGGAGAAGCUGAGCAGCUGGAAGAAUGUGCAUAAAAUUCUAGCAAAGGAAAAGAAAAUGAGUGUUGUCAUUGAAGAGGGUUUGGUGGAGUUGCAGAAUGAAUUGGAUAAAGUUUUGCAAGAAGCAGAAUUCAGAGAAAAGAAUAUUGAAUGUUUCCAGAACAAACUGCAGGAAUUAAAAUCUGAGCUGGCAGCAGAGGAAUCAGCAGCAAGCAAGUUAUUCCAGAGAGAUAUUAAAGAUGGUCUUCCUCUUCCAGAUAUCUCAAAAGAUUCUCUAAAAGCACCCAUUCUUCAGUGGCCACAUGGAAGAGAAAGAAGAAAUGACAAAAGUGUGGAAUGGCAAGGAAAGACCUGGCAGCACUAGGAACUACCAGCCACAGUGAGACUCUCCCACCCCACUACUGCUGAACCACUCAGUCAGCUGCUGUGUAUCCAAGGAUAGGGGGCAUCUUGACAGCCACUUGAAGAUGAAACUCUCCUGCACUGUGCAGCCCAGAAUGAGCUUUUGAAAGUUAAAAACGAACAACUUCUUAAAGACUUGAACACUAUUCAGCAAUCAGAUGAAAUGAAGACUGUGUCAGCUUUUCUAGAACAUGUGUA